This 253-nucleotide ribosomal RNA is filed under the name uncultured bacterium. RNAcentral's name for it is "partial 16S ribosomal RNA". It matches the Rfam family "Bacterial small subunit ribosomal RNA", at positions 524 to 776 of the family's 1533-position model. The record is from RNAcentral.
UACGAAGGGGGCUAGCGUUGCUCGGAAUCACUGGGCGUAAAGCGCACGUAGGCGGCUUUUUAAGUCAGAGGUGAAAUCCUGGAGCUCAACUCCAGAACUGCCUUUGAUACUGGAGAGCUUGAGUCCGGGAGAGGUGAGUGGAAUUCCCAGUGUAGCGGUGAAAUGCGUAGAUAUUGGGAGGAACACCAGUGGCGAAGGCGGCUCGCUGGACCGGUUCUGACGCUGAGGCGCGAAAGCGUGGGGAGCAAACGGG